This 490-nucleotide ribosomal RNA is filed under the name uncultured bacterium. Its description in RNAcentral is "bacterial SSU rRNA". It matches the Rfam family "Bacterial small subunit ribosomal RNA", at positions 30 to 517 of the family's 1533-position model. The record is from RNAcentral.
AUUGAACGCUGGCGGCAUGCCUUACACAUGCAAGUCGAACGGCAGCACGGGAGCAAUCCUGGUGGCGAGUGGCGAACGGGUGAGUAAAGUAUCGGAACGUACCUUUCAGUGGGGGAUAACGUAGCGAAAGUUACGCUAAUACCGCAUAUUCUGUGAGCAGGAAAGCAGGGGAUCGCAAGACCUUGCGCUGAUUGAGCGGCCGAUAUCAGAUUAGCUAGUUGGUGGGGUAAAGGCCUACCAAGGCGACGAUCUGUAGCGGGUCUGAGAGGAUGAUCCGCCACACUGGAACUGAGACACGGUUCAGACUCCUACGGGAGGCAGCAGUGGGAAAUUUGGACAAUGGGGGCAACCCUGAUCCAGCCAUGCCGCGUGAGUGAAGAAGGCCUGCGGGUUGUAAAGCUCUUUCGGCCGGGACGAAAUCGCACGGGCUAAUAUCCUGUGUGGAUGACUGUACCGGAAUAAGCACCGGCUAACUCUGUGCCAGCAGCCG